RNAcentral lists this ribosomal RNA (253 nucleotides) under uncultured bacterium. Its description in RNAcentral is "partial 16S ribosomal RNA". It matches the Rfam family "Bacterial small subunit ribosomal RNA", at positions 524 to 776 of the family's 1533-position model. The record is from RNAcentral.
UACAGAGGUCUCAAGCGUUGUUCGGAUUCAUUGGGCGUAAAGGGUGUGUAGGCGGUUGUUUAAGUUUGGUGUGAAAUCUCCCGGCUCAACUGGGAGGGUGCGCCGAAUACUGAGCGACUAGAGUGCGGGAGAGGAAAGUGGAAUUCCUGGUGUAGCGGUGAAAUGCGUAGAUAUCAGGAGGAACACCGGUGGUGUAGACGGCUUUCUGGACCGUAACUGACGCUGAGACACGAAAGCGUGGGUAGCAAACAGG